Non-coding RNA from Cyanistes caeruleus (blue tit), 1573 nucleotides. The record is from RefSeq and is a predicted model, not a curated record. Lineage: Eukaryota; Metazoa; Chordata; Aves; Passeriformes; Paridae.
UCCCCUUCCCUCCCCGCAGCUCCGCCGAUGCCGAGUACGCUGCUAGAGCCUAAAGAAAAACGUGGGAAUAGGGAAAAGGAUGGAAAUUGACACAUAGUUAACUUUAAAGGCCGACUGCGUUUAUAUCGAGGAGUAAACACAAAACCAUCUACUAAAGUCAGACAUGCCUUCUAUUUCAGGGCUAAUGGAAUGAGUCAUCGACAGAGUGGAUUAUUUAAAGCACCGUAGAUCCGGGUUUGGCUGAGGUUUAACCACUGGUGCAGAAGGUUGCAGGUACAUUGGGAGGAAAAUUAAGCUGUGAACUGGAAUUCCAUCAGGCUGUCUACUGUGAAGCCCCGUGGCUUUAGAAAAGGGGCAGUAGUGGUCAGAAAUGACACUCAGAAGUGUUCUUUUCUACUUUCCCAACAUCUUUGGACUAUGAAAGUGGAACAAGGAGUCUUUUGGGAAGACGAGAGGACUUGCCUGUAAAGGAUAAGAAAGUGGAGAAAAUCAUGCAAGGAUUGCCUUCUUUUUAAUAUGUCGAAAAGCCCCCAAAUAAGAGGUAAAAGCAUCGUAGGUGACCCACACUUGCUGCAAUUGCUGAGCAAGUCUGAUCCCCAGAUACCUGAGGAGAGUGUCACAGUGUGUUUGGUAACUGUGCAAUUUGGGAAUACCUGAGUUCUUCACUGCUUCUCUGUCUGGCCACUCUGAUGGAAGGGGUAAUGCCUGCAGACAUGAAGUGAGAACAGAUUGCUGAUGAGCUGCCUUGUGCUCUUUAGAUUUUAGUUUUCUGUGGAUUUUACUUGCCUGGACUGCCUACAGUUGUUUGUGCGCAGACAGGGUGGUUAUGUGCAAAUUCCCGUUAGACUUCUACCAGAAAACCCUUUAGGAGGACAGAGAAGAUGUUCCUCAGGUUUACUGGUCUGAAAACAAAUGGUUUGUGUGUGAGUCUGUGGCACAGUGGCUGUCCAUGGAUCACCCACUCCCUGCUGCCUUGGGGCACGGUCUGACAAAUCGUGUGUUCUUACUGUGCCACCACGUUAAACCCUCGCGUUGUUCCUUGGGCUGCAGUCUGGAGACAGAAGUCAGAAGACAUUUCAUUGGUUGAAUAUAUGUGGAAUGAAAACUAUUGCCAUUUGAGAGCAGCAUCUCACAGGGGGAAGGGAAGGAGGGAGGGCACAGGAGGAGUGUGUUGAUUGGGACUGACAUGCGCCUUAAUAUCUGAUGUGGCUUUCACACUUGGAAAUAUUCAGGACUCCAUAUGUUCCAAAAACCCCACUGAACAGUGCAUAUAACAUUGCCUUUAUCAUUCUUUAAUCUCAGUUUAAUUGCUGUGGUCAAAUUACCCCACACUUAAUAACCCACAGCUUGGUAUAUUAUUUAAUAUGGUUGACACAUACUUUGUUUUAAAUGUCAGUGCUGGUAAAGCCCUGGAGUUGGCAAUGCUGUGCAUGAUAGAUGGCAGAGGAGACGGAUCAUCUGUUCUUUGUCUGAGCUGUUGGUAUGUUGGCUGCAACUUUUUCAACUGUGACACUAGACUCAUGCCAAACCCAAAGCUACUGAAUGGGUAACAUUAUCCCUUGUAUCUGAUGUU